This 301-nucleotide ribosomal RNA is filed under the name uncultured bacterium. RNAcentral describes it as "partial 16S ribosomal RNA". It matches the Rfam family "Bacterial small subunit ribosomal RNA", at positions 509 to 809 of the family's 1533-position model. The record is from RNAcentral.
CAGUCGCCGCGGGAAUACGUAGGGUGCGAGCGUUAAUCGGAAUUACUGGGCGUAAAGCGUGCGCAGGCGGUUUUGUAAGACAGAGGUGAAAUCCCCGGGCUCAACCUGGGAACUGCCUUUGUGACUGCAAGGCUAGAGUACGGCAGAGGGGGAUGGAAUUCCGCGUGUAGCAGUGAAAUGCGUAGAUAUGCGGAGGAACACCGAUGGCGAAGGCAAUCCCCUGGGCCUGUACUGACGCUCAUGCACGAAAGCGUGGGGAGCAAACAGGAUUAGAUACCCCGGUAGUCCCUGUCUCUUAUAA